UACGUAGGGGGCAAGCGUUAUCCGGAUUCACUGGGUGUAAAGGGAGCGUAGACGGCGACGCAAGUCUGGAAUGAAAGCCCGGGGCCCAACCUCGGGACUGCUCUGGAAACUGCGUCGCUGGAGUACGGGAGGGGCAGGCGGAAUUCCUGGUGUAGCGGUGAAAUGCGUAGAUAUCAGGAGGAACACCGGCGGCGAAGGCGGCCUGCUGGACUGCAACUGACGUUGAGGCCCGAAAGCGUGGGGAGCAAACAGG
This 253-nucleotide ribosomal RNA is filed under the name uncultured bacterium. RNAcentral describes it as "partial 16S ribosomal RNA". It matches the Rfam family "Bacterial small subunit ribosomal RNA", at positions 524 to 776 of the family's 1533-position model. The record is from RNAcentral.